GAUCCUGGCUCAGGAUGAACGCUAGCUACAGGCUUAACACAUGCAAGUCGAGGGGCAGCAUGGUCUUAGCUUGCUAAGGCCGAUGGCGACCGGCGCACGGGUGAGUAACACGUAUCCAACCUGCCGUCUACUCUUGGACAGCCUUCUGAAAGGAAGAUUAAUACCAAGAUGGCAUCAUGAGUUCACAUGUUCACAUGAUUAAAAGGUAUUCCGGUAGACGAUGGGG
RNAcentral lists this ribosomal RNA (226 nucleotides) under uncultured bacterium. Its description in RNAcentral is "partial 16S ribosomal RNA". It matches the Rfam family "Bacterial small subunit ribosomal RNA", at positions 15 to 230 of the family's 1533-position model. The record is from RNAcentral.